UUAAGUGACUAAGCGUACACGGUGGAUGCCUGGGCAGUCAGAGGCGAUGAAGGACGUACUAACUUGCGAUAAGCGCAGAUAAGGCAGUAAGAGCCGUUUGAGUCUGCGAUUUCCGAAUGGGGAAACCCAACUGCAUAAGCAGUUACUGUUAACUGAAUACAUAGGUUAACAGAGCAAACCGGGGGAACUGAAACAUCUAAGUACCCCGAGGAGAAGAAAUCAACCGAGAUUCCGGUAGUAGCGGCGAGCGAACCUGGAUUAGCCCUUAAGCACUCGGUGAAGUAGGUGAACAAGCUGGAAAGCUUGGCGAUACAGGGUGAUAGCCCCGUAACCGACGCUUCAUCGAGCGUGAAAUCGAGUAGGGCGGGACACGUGAUAUCCUGUCUGAAUAUGGGGGGACCAUCCUCCAAGGCUAAAUACUCCUGACUGACCGAUAGUGAACCAGUACCGUGAGGGAAAGGCGAAAAGAACCCCUGUGAGGGGAGUGAAAUAGAACCUGAAACCGUGUACGUACAAGCAGUAGGAGCACCUUCGUGGUGUGACUGCGUACCUUUUGUAUAAUGGGUCAGCGACUUAUAUUCAGUGGCAAGGUUAACCGUAUAGGGGAGCCGUAGCGAAAGCGAGUCUUAACUGGGCGCUCAGUCUCUGGAUAUAGACCCGAAACCGGGUGAUCUAGCCAUGGGCAGGUUGAAGGUUGAGUAACAUCAACUGGAGGACCGAACCGACUAAUGUUGAAAAAUUAGCGGAUGACUUGUGGCUAGGGGUGAAAGGCCAAUCAAACUCGGAGAUAGCUGGUUCUCCCCGAAAGCUAUUUAGGUAGCGCCUCGGACGAAUACUACUGGGGGUAGAGCACUGUUAAGGCUAGGGGGUCAUCCCGACUUACCAACCCUUUGCAAACUCCGAAUACCAGUAAGUACUAUCCGGGAGACACACGGCGGGUGCUAACGUCCGUCGUGGAGAGGGAAACAACCCAGACCGCCAGCUAAGGUCCCAAAGUAUUGCUAAGUGGGAAACGAUGUGGGAAGGCUCAGACAGCUAGGAUGUUGGCUUAGAAGCAGCCAUCAUUUAAAGAAAGCGUAAUAGCUCACUAGUCGAGUCGGCCUGCGCGGAAGAUGUAACGGGGCUAAGCAAUACACCGAAGCUGCGGCAAUGUCUUUUAGAUAUUGGGUAGGGGAGCGUUCUGUAAGCCGUUGAAGGUGAAUCGUAAGGUUUGCUGGAGGUAUCAGAAGUGCGAAUGCUGACAUGAGUAACGACAAAGGGGGUGAAAAACCUCCUCGCCGGAAGACCAAGGGUUCCUGUCCAACGUUAAUCGGGGCAGGGUGAGUCGACCCCUAAGGUGAGGCCGAAAGGCGUAAUCGAUGGGAAACGGGUUAAUAUUCCCGUACUUCUGACUAUUGCGAUGGGGGGACGGAGAAGGCUAGGUGGGCCAGGCGACGGUUGUCCUGGUUCAAGUGCGUAGGCUUGAGGGUUAGGUAAAUCCGGCUCUCUCUAAGGCUGAGACACGACGUCGAGCUGCUACGGCAG
This 1524-nucleotide ribosomal RNA is filed under the name Vibrio cholerae HC-50A1. RNAcentral's name for it is "bacterial LSU rRNA". It matches the Rfam family "Bacterial large subunit ribosomal RNA", at positions 1 to 1585 of the family's 2925-position model. The record is from RNAcentral. Lineage: Bacteria; Pseudomonadati; Pseudomonadota; Gammaproteobacteria; Vibrionales; Vibrionaceae. RNAcentral also lists the same sequence under 1 other name.